GACGAACGCUGGCGGCGUGCUUAACACAUGCAAGUCGAGCGGUAAGGCCCUUUCGGGGGUACACGAGCGGCGAACGGGUGAGUAACACGUGGGUGACCUGCCCUUAGCUCUGGGAUAAGCCUGGGAAACUGGGUCUAAUACCGGAUAUGACUCCAUGACGCAUGUUGUGGGGUGGAAAGCCUUGUGCGGCUAGGGAUGGGCCCGCGGCCUAUCAGCUUGUUGGUGGGGUGAUGGCCUACCAAGGCGACGACGGGUAGCCGGCCUGAGAGGGCGACCGGCCACACUGGGACUGAGACACGGCCCAGACUCCUACGGGAGGCAGCAGGUGGGGAAUCUUGCGCAA
Molecule: ribosomal RNA, 343 nt
Filed under: uncultured bacterium
Lineage: Bacteria
Description: bacterial SSU rRNA
Rfam family: Bacterial small subunit ribosomal RNA
Source: RNAcentral